RNAcentral lists this ribosomal RNA (497 nucleotides) under uncultured bacterium. RNAcentral describes it as "partial 16S ribosomal RNA". It matches the Rfam family "Bacterial small subunit ribosomal RNA", at positions 28 to 507 of the family's 1533-position model. The record is from RNAcentral.
GAUGAACGCUGGCGGCGUGCCUAAUAAAUGCAAGUCGAGCGAACGGACGAGAAGCUUGCUUCUCUGAUGUUAGCGGCGGACGGGUGAGUAACACGUGGAUAACCUACCUAUAAGACUGGGAUAACUUCGGGAAACCGGAGCUAAUACCGGAUAAUAUUUUGAACAGCAUGGUUCAAAAGUGAAAGAAGGUCUUGCUGUCACUUAUAGAUGGAUCUACGCUGCAUUAGCGAGUUGUUAAGGUAACGGAUAACCAAAGCAACAAGGCAUAGCCGACCUGUGAGGGUGAUCGGCCACACAGGAUCUGAGACACGGUCCGGACUCCUACGGGAGGCAGCAGGAGAGAAUCUUGCGGAAUAGGCGGAAGCCUGGCGAAGCAACACCGCGUGAGUGAUAAAGGUCUUCGAAUCGUAGAACUCUGUUAUUAGGGAAGAACAUAUGUAUAUGUAACUGUGCACAUCUUGACGGUACCUAAUCAGAAAGCCACGGCUAACUACGUG